UUCCAAUUUUCUCUCAGAAGCCUCAUCCC
This 29-nucleotide non-coding RNA is filed under the name Mus musculus (house mouse). The record is from RNAcentral. Lineage: Eukaryota; Metazoa; Chordata; Mammalia; Rodentia; Muridae.